Molecule: long non-coding RNA, 391 nt
Filed under: Trifolium pratense (red clover)
Lineage: Eukaryota; Viridiplantae; Streptophyta; Magnoliopsida; Fabales; Fabaceae
Description: long non-coding RNA (TPRA_LNC001727)
Source: RNAcentral
ACUUUUUAACAGUGAAGGGUUUGAUUCAGCUGAGAAUGAUGAUGUUAUAUUGACUUCAUUUUCUAGUCUUAAGAGAUUAGUUUUGGAAGCUGUUGCUUUUGGAUCAUUCUUGUGGGAAACAGAAGAUUACAUUAACAAUGUAUAUAAGCUUAAGGAUCAUUAAGGUAGUGACAAAACACAGGAUAAGUUGCAAUAUUUGUUGAGCUAAUUCCUCUUGUAUAUAUAGUGAGUUUUUGUUUUUAGCUUUUCAGUUUUACUUUGGAUUAUGUUUAUUUUGUAUAGUACACAUUUACCUUAAAUAGUAUAUAGUUUUAAUGCUUAGACUUUCAUUGAGUUUUUUUAGUAUGUAGUUUUUUUGCUUAGAGUUGAUAAUUCAUAGUGAUUUUGCAUA